Molecule: long non-coding RNA, 171 nt
Organism: Xiphophorus couchianus (Monterrey platyfish)
Lineage: Eukaryota; Metazoa; Chordata; Actinopteri; Cyprinodontiformes; Poeciliidae
Exons: 3
Source: RefSeq, a predicted model, not a curated record
AUUCAUAUCUGUACCUCACUCAGAACAUUUACAGCAAUGAGAGAAAGAAAUGUUGUGCCCAGAUCUGAAAUUCUAGUCAAAUACAUGGGAGAAAGCCUGAGGCAGCCUCAGAAAAUCCUGUCGCAUGACUUUGCUCUGAAGCACCGUGACAGAAAACCGAGAUCGGCAGAG